GUCCCUGUAGUGCAAUGGAUGGCGCGUUGGACUUCUAAUCCAAAGGUCGUGGGUUUGAAUCCCACCUGGGAUG
This 73-nucleotide transfer RNA is filed under the name Trichonephila inaurata madagascariensis. It matches the Rfam family "tRNA". From Rfam's summary of the family: Transfer RNA (tRNA) molecules are approximately 80 nucleotides in length. Their secondary structure includes four short double-helical elements and three loops (D, anti-codon, and T loops). The record is from Rfam by way of RNAcentral. Lineage: Eukaryota; Metazoa; Arthropoda; Arachnida; Araneae; Nephilidae.